CCUACGGGGGGCAGCAGUGAGGAAUAUUGGUCAAUGGGCGCGAGCCUGAACCAGCCAAGUCGCGUGCGGGAGGACGGCCCUACGGGUUGUAAACCUCUUUUGCCGGGGAGCAACGGGCGUCACGUGUGGCGCUACUGAGAGUACCCGGAGAAAAAGCAUCGGCAAACUCCGUGCCAGCAGCCGCGGUAAUACGGAGGAUGCGAGCGUUAUCCGGUUUGAUUGGGUUUAAAGGGUGCGUAGGCGGAUCGUAAAGUCAGGGGGAAAAUUGGGGGGCUCCACCCCUUCCCGCCAUUGAAACUGGCGCUCUUGAGUGGAAGUGAAGUAUGCGGAAUGCGUGGUGUAGCGGUGAAAUGCAUAGAUAUCACGCAGAACCCCGAUUGCGAAGGCAGCAUGCCGGCUUCCGACUGACGCUGAAGCACGAAAGCGUGGGGAUCGAACAGGAUUAGAUACCCCUGUAGUC
Molecule: ribosomal RNA, 460 nt
Filed under: uncultured bacterium
Lineage: Bacteria
Description: partial 16S ribosomal RNA
Rfam family: Bacterial small subunit ribosomal RNA
Source: RNAcentral